GGAUCAAUUUAUUGGUCGUGCUAUUGUACGUACUGGUAUUAUUGAUUCCUACCUUCUGACGAACCAUGAUGUCAUUAAUUUGGUGUCAUGGGGAAUCAGGACUGUUACUUUGAAAAAAUUAGAGUGUUCAAAACAAGCUUAUGCUUGAAUACAUUAGCAUGGAAUAACGGAAUAGGACUU
Molecule: ribosomal RNA, 180 nt
Filed under: uncultured Glomeromycotina
Lineage: Eukaryota; Fungi; Glomeromycota
Description: partial small subunit ribosomal RNA
Rfam family: Eukaryotic small subunit ribosomal RNA
Source: RNAcentral